This is a long non-coding RNA of Eriocheir sinensis (Chinese mitten crab), 2564 nucleotides long. RefSeq lists it as uncharacterized. The transcript has 2 exons. Lineage: Eukaryota; Metazoa; Arthropoda; Malacostraca; Decapoda; Varunidae. The record is from RefSeq and is a predicted model, not a curated record.
CCUCCUUUCCCUUCAUUUAUUCCCUCUUCCCUCCCUCCCUCUUCUCCUUAUCUUCAUUUUCUCUCCUCUCCUCCUCCUCUUCCUCUUUCUCUUCCUUUCUGUGGUUCGUUUUCUCUUCUUUUAUUUUUUUUUCUCUAUUUCCUUUUCUCUUCCUUCCUUCGUCUUUCCUCCUCUUCUCUCUCACUUUUCCUUUCCCUUUUAUCCUCUUCUUCCUCAUGCUUAUCCAUCCCUAUCUAUUCCCCCUUUCCCUCCACUUCCCUUUCCUUCCCCUCUUCUGCUUCAUUCUUUUCCCCUCUCUUUUUUCUUUUCUUCCUCUUCCUCUUUAUCUGUACCCCAUCUCCUCCAUUUCCUCUUCCUUUUCCCCUUUCCCUCCUCUUCUUCCCAUUCCUUCCUCUUCCACUUCAGUUUUCUUCUUCUUCUUCUUCUUCUUUAUAUCUACAUCCUUAUUUUUCUUCCUCUCUUCUUCCCUUCCUUCCUUCCCUCCCAUUCCUCCGAUCUUCCUUCCCUUCCUUAUUUCCCUAUCUUUCCUUAUUUUGUUUUUCCUCUACUUCAUCUUCUUCUUUCCCUUUAUUUUCCUUAUUUUUCUUCCCAUUUUCUUUCCCUCUUCUUCCCUUCCUUCCCAUUCCUUUGAUUUUCCUUCCCUUUCUUCCCUUCCUCCUUUCCCUUUAACUUUAUAUCUAUCCCCUUUUUUUUUCUAAUUUUAUUCAUUUUCCUGUUUUUUUCUCUUAUUUAUUUGUAACCAUUCCUCCUCCCCUUUCCCUUCCCCUCUCUCGUGUCCCCUUUCUUUUCUUCUUCUUUAUUUCUCCCCUUUCCCCCUUCUCCCCCUCCCUCCCCUCGCGUCCCCUCGCUCGGCAGGUGUUUCCGGUUAAUUGGAAAGCGCGGGGCCGCCUCACACCUGCCCUGUGACGGCUUUGUUCUUGCCUCCACAGCGGCAGUCAAGGGGAGGCGAGGUGAGGGCUCAUUCCUCCUCGCUGCUCUGUCCCUCUCUUUGUUCUCAAGCCUAAGUUCCCUCCGAUCCUUAACCCGUCCGCUGCGAUUGGCACGGAUUUCGCCUUCACUGGUAGCCUGGUAACAUAUGCUCCCAGGUCUUUCUCUGCCUCUGUGGUGGGUAGUGGAGUGUUUCCCAUGUGGUACUGGUGUGCUGGAUAUCCCUUCACUGGUAGCCUGGUCACAUAUGCUCCCAGGUCUUUCUCUGCCUCUGUGGUGGGUAGUGGAGUGUUUCCCAUGUGGUAUUGGUGUGCUGGAUAUCCCUUCACUGGUAGCCUGGUAACAUAUGCUCCCAGGUCUUUCUCUGCCUCUGUGGUGGGUAGUGGAGUGUUUCCCAUGUGGUAUUGGUAUGCUGGAUUUCCCCUCCCAAGAUGCAUGACCUCACAUUUUUCUUCACUUAAUUGUAGCAGCCACUUUUUGUUCCACUCCUGCAGCUUGGUGAUGUCUUCUUGUAGGAAGUCCGUAUCCAAUGGGUUAACCCUUCUUCAAAUUUUCCUUUUCGUCUUCUUCCUCCUGAUAUCUCUGAAAAUUUCACAUGGCUUGUUGGCGGAGUUCAUAACAACGGUCGGUCUCGUCAUGAAGUCUUACGGCGGACUGGCCUGAACCACGGUGUUACGGACUCGCUCGGCACGAAUAUAUGUCCUUGUCGAUACCUCUGCAGGACAAUGACCCUGAUCUUGAAGUCCCUUGUGCUCCCUGUCUUCCUCUAUGGCUGUGAGACAUGGACGCUAGAUGGGGACUUGGAGAGGCGGGUUGAUGCCUUUGGUAAUGUGUCUACGCAGAAUCAAGGGAUAUCGCUGGAAUGACUUUGUGUAAAUCGGCGACUACUCCGUGAGACUGACUCUACAUAUAAUACCCGCAUAGUCCGUCAACGCCACCUCCGGCUAUACGGACACGUGGCACGCUGCCCAGAAGCCGACCCUGUUCACCGGGUUGUCUUCUUUCUUCCUUUUUCUCUUCAUUCUUAUCAUUUGUCUCCUUACUCUCUAUAUCUUCUUUUUCUUCGUCAUUUUCAUCAUUAAACCUUUCUCAUAUUUUUCUUGGGUGGAGGAGGCCAAGGGGACGCCCACGGAGAUCGCAGCUUGAGGAGUUCGAUAUAUCUUGCCAGGUGCUCAGGAUGGGAAGGGGCCUGCAUGGAGACUCGCCCGAAAAGACCCCCGGGCUUGGCGUCGUAGAGUGGGCAUGGCGACGCACCCCCCGGCGUAUGCCCCUGUUAAUUGAUGGAUUUUUACUUGAUAUUUCUCGUUCUUUUCCUCGUUAUUCUCUUCCUCUUGUUCUCAUUCUUCGUUUUUUGUCUCUUUGUUCCUCCUUGUGUUCUUCUUCUCCUUUAUCCUUAUUCCCUUCUUCAUUCUCCUACUUUUUUCUUCCUUUUUUCUCCUAAUUCUUAUCAUUCGUCUCCUUACUCUCUCUAUCUUCUGUUUCUUCGUCAUCUUCAUCAUUAUAGAUUUCUCUUCUUCUUCCUUCUCAUAAUAUUUUUCUUCCUUUUCCUCUUCCUCUUGAUCCUUCGUAUUCACUUUCCCUCCUCCUCAUUAUCAUCAUCAUCAUCAUCAUAUUCAUCAUUCUACUACUACUACUAC